Molecule: ribosomal RNA, 459 nt
Filed under: uncultured bacterium
Lineage: Bacteria
Description: partial 16S ribosomal RNA
Rfam family: Bacterial small subunit ribosomal RNA
Source: RNAcentral
CCUACGGGAGGCAGCAGUGAGGAAUAUUGGUCAAUGGGCGGAAGCCUGAACCAGCCAAGCCGCGUGAGGGAAGAAGGUGCCACGCAUCGUAAACCUCUUUUGUCAGGGAACAAAGUCAGGGACGAGUCCCUGUAUGAGGGUACCUGAAGAAAAAGCAUCGGCUAACUCCGUGCCAGCAGCCGCGGUAAUACGGAGGAUGCGAGCGUUAUCCGGAUUUAUUGGGUUUAAAGGGUGCGCAGGCGGCCUGUUAAGUCAGCGGUAAAAGCCCGGGGCUCAACCCCGGCGAGCCGUUGAAACUGGCGGGCUCGAGUUGGAGAGAAGUAGGCGGAAUGCGCGGUGUAGCGGUGAAAUGCUUAGAUAUCGCGCAGAACCCCGAUUGCGAAGGCAGCGUGCCGGCUCCACACUGACGCUGAGGCACGAAAGCGUGGGUAUCGAACAGGAUUAGAUACCCCGGUAGUC